Molecule: ribosomal RNA, 476 nt
Filed under: Peripatopsidae gen. sp. DNA103744
Lineage: Eukaryota; Metazoa; Onychophora; Udeonychophora; Euonychophora; Peripatopsidae
Also listed under: 1 other name
Description: partial 16S ribosomal RNA
Rfam family: Bacterial large subunit ribosomal RNA
Source: RNAcentral
UGCUUUUUGAAUAUUUAAAAAGUAUUUCCUGCCCAAUGAAUAUUUUAAUGGCCGCAGUAUAUUGACUGUGCAAAGGUAGCAUAAUCAUUUGCUUUAUAAAUUAAAGCUUGUAUGAAUGGAAAAAUGUAAAUAUAACUGUCUUUUAUUUAUAAAUAAAAUUUGCUUUUUCAGUGAAGAAGCUGAAUUUUAUUAAAAAGACGAGAAGACCCUAAUGAGUUUUAAAUAUAAUAUAUAGAUUUUAUAUAAUAUAUUUUUUAUUGGGGUAAUAAAAGAAUAUAUCUUCUUUUAAAAUGAAUUAAUAAUAAUUAAUGAACCAUUAAUAAUGAGUAAGAGUUUAAAUUACCAUAGGGAUAACAGCAUAAUUUUUUUUAAGAGUACAUAUUGACAAAAAAGAUUGUGACCUCGAUGUUGGUUUAAGAGAAUUUUAUAAUGAAGAAGUUAUAAAAAUAAGUCUGUUCGACUUUUAAAAUCUUACA